CAUGCAAGUCGAGCGGGCAUCCUUGUGGUGUCAGCGGCAGACGGGUGAGUAACGCGUGGGAACGUGCCCUUCGGUUCGGAAUAACUCAGGGAAACUUGAGCUAAUACCGGAUACGUGCGAGAGCAGAAAGGUUUAUCUGCCGAAGGAUCGGCCCGCGUCUGAUUAGCUAGUUGGUGAGGUUACGGCUCACCAAGGCGACGAUCAGUAGCUGGUCUGAGAGGAUGAUCAGCCACNCUGGGACUGANACACGGCCCAUACUCCUACGGGAGGCAGCNGUGGGGAAUAUUGNACAAUGGGGGCAACCCUGAUCCAGCCAUGCCGCGUGAGUGAUGACGGCCUUAGGGUUGUAAAGNUCUUUUCUCCGGGACNAUAAUGACGGUACCGGAGGAAUAANCCCCGGCUAACUUCNUGCCAGCAGCCGCGGUAAUACGAAGGGGGCUAGCGUUGCUCGGAAUCACUGGGCGUAAAGGGCGCGUAGGCGGCUGAUUUAGUCGAGGGUGAAAGCCCGUGGCUCAACCACGGAAUGGCCUUCNAUACUGAUUGGCUUGAGACCGGAAGAGGACAGCGGAACUGCGAGUGUAGAGGUGAAAUUCGUAGAUAUUCGCAAGAACACCAGUGGCGAAGGCGGCUGUCUGGUCCGGUUCUGACGCUGAGGCNCGAAAGCGUGGGGAGCAAACANGAUUAGAUACCCUGGUAGUCCACGCUGUAAACGAUGAAUGCUAGCCGUUGGGGUGCAUGCACCUCAGUGGCGCCGCUAACGCUUUAANCAUUCCGCCUGGGGAGUAC
Molecule: ribosomal RNA, 786 nt
Filed under: Methylobacterium sp. JB
Lineage: Bacteria; Pseudomonadati; Pseudomonadota; Alphaproteobacteria; Hyphomicrobiales; Methylobacteriaceae
Description: bacterial SSU rRNA
Rfam family: Bacterial small subunit ribosomal RNA
Source: RNAcentral